This 29-nucleotide non-coding RNA is filed under the name Mus musculus (house mouse). Lineage: Eukaryota; Metazoa; Chordata; Mammalia; Rodentia; Muridae. The record is from RNAcentral.
UGCCACAAAUUCCAUGAUCGAAUCUGUUG